GCCCAAGGCUAUAUAGGCAGCCCAGUGAUAUUUGGGAUGUCAUAAAUUGUCCAACAUCACAUCUCUCCAAGCCCCAUAAAUCUUUGGGUGGAUUUUCCAGGGUGCUGUAGAUUGUAAGGUUGGCCCUGGCCCCAUCUACACUAGCUGGCAGUGGGUCUCAGAGAUUCACCUAUGUGCACAUCAACCCUGUGUCUAUCUUAUCACCCAACAUGAAUGCUCAGAGAAUAUGGCCAUUUUAUUAGUGUUCAUGCCAGAUGGUCUAUCAGGACUUAUUCAUUCCACACUUUGGACAUAGAAGCAGCCUCUCUAAGUUGUGGAGAAGCAUUGUGAAUACACUCGGGCAUCUGCUGGGCAAUGGCGUGCAGCCGGCAAAUCUUUCACUUCCAGAAGCAUUGUACUAGAACAACACUGAACCACUUCAUGGACGCCGAUCCCCUGGACAAUGACUGAAGUUGAGGAAAGGUUUUAAGUGGUUUUUUUUUUAAUUUUGCCUGCAUUUCAUGUGUGUCAAUAAUUUUGAAUUAUGGAAUGCUCUAAUAUGAAUAAAGACACUGUCAAUCCAUUGUGUAUUGU
RNAcentral lists this long non-coding RNA (573 nucleotides) under Pogona vitticeps (central bearded dragon). Its description in RNAcentral is "lncRNA (ENSPVIG00000015247.1)". Lineage: Eukaryota; Metazoa; Chordata; Lepidosauria; Squamata; Agamidae. The record is from RNAcentral.